CUAAGUUUGAUGGCGACCGGCGCACGGGUGAGUAACACGUAUCCAACCUGCCGAUGACUCGGGGAUAGCCUUUCGAAAGAAAGAUUAAUACCCGAUGGCAUAGUUCUUCCGCAUGGUAGACUAUUAAAGAAUUUCGGUCAUCGAUGGGGAUGCGUUCCAUUAGGUUGUUGGCGGGGUAACGGCCCACCAAGCCUUCGAUGGAUAGGGGUUCUGAGAGGAAGGUCCCCCACAUUGGAACUGAGACACGGUCCAAACUCCUACGGGAGGCAGCAUG
This 274-nucleotide ribosomal RNA is filed under the name uncultured bacterium. Its description in RNAcentral is "partial 16S ribosomal RNA". It matches the Rfam family "Bacterial small subunit ribosomal RNA", at positions 79 to 353 of the family's 1533-position model. The record is from RNAcentral.